UACGGGGGGGGCAAGCGUUGUUCGGAAUUACUGGGCGUAAAGGGCUCGUAGGCGGCCAACUAAGUCGGACGUGAAAUCCCUCGGCUUAACCGGGGAACUGCGUCCGAUACUGGAUGGCUUGAGGUUGGGAGAGGGAUGCGGAAUUCCAGGUGUAGCGGUGAAAUGCGUAGAUAUCUGGAGGAACACCGGUGGCGAAGGCGGCAUCCUGGACCGGCAUUGACGCUGAGGCGCGAAAGCCAGGGGAGCAAACGGG
This 253-nucleotide ribosomal RNA is filed under the name uncultured bacterium. RNAcentral describes it as "partial 16S ribosomal RNA". It matches the Rfam family "Bacterial small subunit ribosomal RNA", at positions 524 to 776 of the family's 1533-position model. The record is from RNAcentral.